AUUGAACGCUGGCGGCAGGCCUAACACAUGCCAGUCGAGCGGAUGAAGGGAGCUUGCUCCUGGAUUCAGCGGCGGACGGGUGAGUAGUGCCUAGGAAUCUGCCUGGUAGUGGGGGAUAACGUCCGGAGACGGGCGCUAAUACCGCAUACGUCCUGAGGGAGAAAGUGGGGGAUCUUCGGACCUCACGCUAUCAGAUGAGCCUAGGUCGGAUUAGCUAGUUGGUGGGGUAAAGGCCUACCAAGGCGACGAUCCGUAACUGGUCUGAGAGGAUGAUCAGUCACACUGGAACUGAGACACGGUCCAGACUCCUACGGGAGGCAGCAGUGGGGAAUAUUGGACAAUGGGCGAAAGCCUGAUCCAGCCAUGCCGCGUGUGUGAAGAAGGUCUUCGGAUUGUAAAGCACUUUAAGUUGGGAGGAAGGGCAGUAAGUUAAUACCUUGCUGUCUUGACGUUACCAACAGAAUAAGCACCGGCUAACUUCGUG
RNAcentral lists this ribosomal RNA (484 nucleotides) under uncultured bacterium. RNAcentral's name for it is "partial 16S ribosomal RNA". It matches the Rfam family "Bacterial small subunit ribosomal RNA", at positions 30 to 507 of the family's 1533-position model. The record is from RNAcentral.